UCACUGGGCAUGUUUUAGUGCUGCUGGGCUAAGUGUGAACAGCUUCUUGUUUCAUCAAGGGAUCUGGACACACAUCCUUUGUGUUUGGGAAAAAUGCAGCAAAGCAGUUUGGAAACACAAUUUCAGCCUCUCAUUAUGCAAUCAAGGAAGGAGGGGGCGUCCAGAGGGGAAAGGGCAGGGCGCCCAGCAUCAGCUGAAGGGGACACCCACAAUGUUGUGGCGAUUUGUGAAGAAGGCCCUUGCCCUCUCGGGGGCAGGGAAAUCCACUGUCUGCUCUCAAACGACCCCCGCUGCCGGGUUGCUGACUGUUUUCGCAGCCACUGAGGUUUCCUCACUUUGAGCCAAUGAAGGACGCCUCCACAGCAUGGCUUGAUGUACAGUGUAGGUUGGCACCUGGGAUCCAAACCCAUGAACCUGGGCUGCUGAAGUGGAGUGCGCCAAGAGCAGCCCCAUGCCACUGGGCUGGCCCCCACUUCUUCAUGAUUUUAUACGGCAUUCAGCCACUCCAUGAUUGCUCCCCACACGCCCAUGCCUCUGAGUGUGUGCGUGCACAUGCAUGUGUAUGUAUAUGUGUAUGUGAGUGUGUACGUGUGUGUACGUGCAUGUGUGAUGGGCAGGUAAGGGUGAUUCCGGGUGAGGAGGGCUCAGCCCUACUUCAUGGAUCUGACUCCUGUCUUCCCUCUGCCCAGCCCCACCCCAAGCUUAGAGUGGCAAAUCUUUGUGUGUGAGUGGGAGGACUGUCAAGUACUUCCAGUAGGUAAGGGAGCUUUUCUCUCUCUUGUUUGCUCCCUUGUACAGAUUUAUUUAGGUGGAUUAAGUGGAAAUUUGUCCCCGUCACUAGAACUGUGAACAGCCGUUUUCUCCAGGUCCCAGAAACAGUGGCUCACAGUUGAAGGCAGAGCAGCCGUCAGAGGUACAAGGGGAAGAGCCAGAAUUUAAUGAGACUCCUGGAAUCCGUCGGAUUGAGCUGCUCCUAGGCCUGGACCAUUCUCUACUCUACCUCUUUAUACCAAGAACUGAGUCCUUUCCGGCGGGUGUAGGUGACUUGUCAUGUCUUCCGUCACAUAUUGUUUCCAGUUCUGUUGGUGUAGUGCACUUUCCAGAAUCUUUACAUCUUUCGCUGUCGUCUUGGGUCGCCUGCACCUAACGUCCCCUCCGUGUGCAGGCUGCAGUUCUGAGCAUCUCAGUCAGGGCAUUUUAGUUUGGCUGAGCUGGGACUCUGAGGCUGACAGUGUAGACAAACCCAGCCUCCCCCACCCCCAGCGUAUUGGUGGACCAGGAGGUAACCCAGGGUUGGAGGUGGGAGAAGGCAUUUUAACUGAGGGUUCAGGGGCAAGAAGAUGCAGAAGAGAGACGGGGGGUGGGAGUCUUCCCCAGCUGCCCUUUGAGCGUGGUUUCCACCCUCGUGUUGAAGGGCGUAAGUCAAAAGCGGACGGAUGGCCUAGAGGCCAUCUCCAGGGAGGCUGCUUGAGCCGAGGGGCCCUGGAGCGGCUGGGUUGAGAGGAGGCUGUGGUUCCCCUGCAGGGACUCGGAAGCCAGGGCAGUCCUGACACCCUGCAGAUUGUAAGUUUGGGGAGAACAGGGACACUGGGCUUCUCCUCUGCAGAGACACCUCCUCAGGUGGCAGGUGGAGGAGAAGACUAACAGGAAUGCGGGUCUGUGGGUAAGACAGCUUCGGACUCCUUCGCAGACACAUAUGAAAAUCUCUUUGGUGACAGGUGAUGCUCUGAUGGGGGUAAGUGCCUGGUUGGGCAGGGCACGGGCACUUGGAACCCUUGCAAUUUGAGCACAAAUGCACUGUGAAGCAGAAAACUGGUGAACUUGUCGCUUCCUGGCUGCGCGGAAUGACCCAAACCAGGUAAACUGGAGUCCCCAAGGGGACAAGCAGAGAAGGAAGAUGCUGAAGUUAUUCCACGAAUGGCUUGCUCGCGAGAAGCCUGCUGCUGCUGGGCCGCUGGCUGGCUGACUCCGGCACAGGCCGGUUUCCAGGGCAGCCCAGGAGGGGUGGGCUGAGGGGCAGGACCCGGUCCAGUUCUUCCAGGAGGAGGUCACCACAAUGUGUGUAUGCCUCUACCUAUACAUAUAUAUCGUGCAGCAUUGUUAUUUUUUAAGUGUUGCGAACCAAAGACAAGGGAUAUCAAGUUUCCUCAGAAAAUUGUGCUUGUUUUCCAGUGCCUCUGAUUGGGUUGCUGCCACCUUGCAGAUUCCUCUCAACUCUAUGAAGCGGCUCCUUUUCCACCCCAGCCACCACUCCUUCCUUGCUCACUUCCUCUCGUUUCUUUGGACCCUUCUUUCUUCCCCUCUAGUCCCUUCUUUUCCUCAGCCUCCCACCCGUCCUCUUUCUCCUCAACCUCGUGCACAUCGCCCCUGCUCUGUUUGGAUUUGGUUGUUAAUCACAGUUGGCUUUCAAGAUGCAUCAGGAGAGCUGGAUAUGCAGGGCUGCCAGCAACAACGACUGAGGUGGCUGCCCAUCUCACAGUCAUUUGCCCCCCUCUUGGAUGGGCCCCCUGUGGCCAUGCCCAUGCUCCACGACCCUGCUCCAUGCCCUGUCUGACUCUGAUGGGGCCAAUCAGGUUAUCUCUGCCUUGAGACCAUGAAACGGGGAACAGAGAGUCAGAGAGAGGAGCUGAGCCCCUCUGAUUGCAGCACCGGAGAGAGAAGGCUAGUAAUAACCGCCUGCUGUUGUGGCAGCUGUGGCAGCUGUGGGCUCAUAUGCCCACCAAGCCCAGCUGGCACGGAGGAAGCACGGGCAGCCCUCCUUGGUACCGUUUGGGUACUGUGUUAGAAUGGACCAUGCUGCGGUAACAAACAGGCCGACACCUCAGGGGCUGACUCAGAAAACGUUCAUUUUGCCUUUACCACCCACUGCGUAAUGGUUGGUGACUCUCCAGAGCUGCCCUCCUCUAAGUAGUGACUCAGAGGCCCUGGUAGCUCCCGUUGGGUAGCCAUGCCCUCUGGAACGUGUGGCCUCCAACGUCGCUUCAUCAGGGAAAGGGAGAGGAGGGGAAAACACAUCCGCUGUCACCACUGUGGCCAAGAAGGAUCACACAGAAGUAUCACACGUCUCUUUACUUCCCAUUUCAAUUGCCACACCUGCCACGGGGACUCCUGGGAACCACAGAGGAAUCAUAGCUAUUUGGUGAACAUGACUUCUCUCCGCCACACAUCAUUUUUCGGUCGACGAGAAAAAGAAGAAAGAAACUCUUCUCUAGGAUGCCAAAAUUUGUGAUGAGAGUGGCUCUUGACAUACAUAUUUUAAGGCCAACAGAAUCUUUGGAGUGAAGCGAGAUAUAAGAUGAAAGGUAUUAUUUUGUUUGACUUCAAAUGUGCCAGAGCGAAGGUAGCCGCUGGUCCCCCCACCUCAUCCUUCUGGUCACUCAAAAGGACAGCUAAGCACAGCCCCUCACAGCCUCCAAACCUACAGGGCUGAGAUUGGGGUACUGGAGGAGGUGGGGGGCUGCUUCUUUAAGUGAAAUGUCCUCUCUGAUUCCAGAAACCCCGGAGGAUGCAUCUUAAAUGAGCAGGGAAAUUGGCUUUUCUCCCAUCUAUGGCUGUUCAUCUUGCUGGCAGGAGAGGAGUGGUGCAUCAAGGGCAUUAGGUCUCUUCCUGUGUCCCUCUAUUCCAUGCCACCUCAUCAGCCCUGCUCUCCUUCAAGGAAGCCACAUGUUUUGGAACAGACGUUCGGUUUCAGCCCUCAGCGGGCCUUGGGUUUUGUGGGCAACACAGCAUAGUAGGAGAACACAAGUGCCGGUCACAGGUACCUGAGUUUGAGCCCUGGCUCCACCCAGAAUAACCUUAUGUGGUGAAUACAGGCACGAGGAAGGCUAAGGAGCUUACUGAAGAGCCAGGAGCUGGUCAGAGGGGAGUCUGGAAUGACACUCAGCUCCUGACUCCAAACCGUGGCCUAAGCCCCACACUUUGUGUUUUGGGAAUGAGCAUCUUCCCUAAAGCCUGCAGUCCUGGCCCAGCCCAGCUGCAGCCCCUGUAACUACAGCCCGUUUCUAAAUCGCCCCUCCCCGGUGCCCACGUGCCUUUGUGAGCCAGGCCAUUCUUCCCGCCAGCCCUGGUCGCAGCCAAGCUUGCUGUGCCCUUGAACUUUUUUGCUUGGGUCAUGAAGAAAGGAACCUUCAGUGCAUUUCAAUUCUCCAAGACAAGCUUGCAGAGAUGCUGCUGGCCCCUUCCCAGUGAUGAUUUAUGCAGGGUACGUGGAAAAGCAUGCUGUUUUCAUUCCUUUUAAAACCAAGUAAUGACCUAGGGGGAGAACGUUAUGUCUGUAUCUGUCUCUGUUCCUUUCUCUGUAUCUCUGUCUCUUUUUCUAUCUAAAUCUGUGUAUCCACAUCUAUAUUUGUCUGCAUAGAGAUGCAGUGACGUGAAUUUAGUAGCCUAACAGAGCCUUGCCACACUGUCGUCUAUUUAUAUUUGACCUGGUAGAAUUUGGCACUUAUUUGCAAUGCAAAGAUGCAGAGUUGCAUCGUGUCCUUUAAGAAAUAUAUACGUAAAUAUAGGCCAACCCUUUCAAGCAAAAUAAAAAUAUAUGGUGCUUGUCUUUGUGUUACGGAGAUGCAGGUAUUCAAAUCAACUCAGGAUAAUACUCACUGGGAAACUGAGAAGAAACACUAACUGAGUGACUUUGGGCAAGUCCCUCAAAUGCUCAGAGUCUCAAAUUCUUCAUGAAAAAACUGCAAGAUUUAGACCAGAUGAUCUCUAAGGGAAAGCCAACUCCUGUGAUCCAGAAGCUUUUGAUUUUUGCCUGGCAUCCUUUAAUAAAUAGCUUUUACUCCAAAUCUGGUCUUACAGAUUGUUCUUAGGAAAUUACAAUUGCAGGUAGAAGAGCAGGGUAGUCCUGGGUUUGGGCUGUGUAUCUGUCAAGGUAUAGUCAGGAAAUGCAUGCCAGGUCACUCAGCAGAGGGAAUUUAAUACAAGGACUCCGUCACAAAGUGUUGGAAGCUCUGCAAAGCCAAACGGGGCGGUGAGGAAACCCAAAGGUCAGCCAUGGCAGAAACUUACCACCAUCCUCAGGCUGCAGGGGCAAAGGCAGGAGGGUCAGAG
Molecule: long non-coding RNA, 5049 nt
Organism: Equus caballus (horse)
Lineage: Eukaryota; Metazoa; Chordata; Mammalia; Perissodactyla; Equidae
Source: Ensembl